RNAcentral lists this unclassified non-coding RNA (519 nucleotides) under Hevea brasiliensis (rubber tree). Lineage: Eukaryota; Viridiplantae; Streptophyta; Magnoliopsida; Malpighiales; Euphorbiaceae. The record is from RNAcentral.
GUGAUCCGAGGUCUUGUUGAAUUGGAAAAGGAAUUGAAGGAUGUUCUUGGUAUUGUGGGACUAAUGUCUUCUUCGACCUGUGCCGAGGUUAUUCAGGAACUGAAAAACAAGGCACUGGAGAGGGCAGGACUCACAGUAGAAGAAGUUAAUCAGCAUAUUUGCGACAGGACUGAGGCGAAGAAGGUGAAGGAUUUUACGAGGGCUGAUGCGAUUCGGCAGGAACUGAAAACAAGGGGCAUAUACCUCGAGGAUGAAAAGGAUGGUAGCAUGACUUGGCGACCAUGUGAACCUGAGAUGCAACCUGAGGUGCAACCCGAUGGGGUACCUACCUCCACUUUGGGUGUUCCACUAUCUGUUGGUGUUGUAAAUGGUGAUUCCGAGGUGAUUCCAGGUUCCAGUCCAGCUGAUCCUACACGACGAGAGAAACAAGAUUCCUGAUUCUGGGCAUGAGAUGGAUGUUGUUACCAGAUUCUUGAUUUACUCUCGUAUUUAGCAGUUUUACCUUUUAUAUUUACUUGG